This 500-nucleotide ribosomal RNA is filed under the name uncultured Glomeromycotina. Its description in RNAcentral is "partial small subunit ribosomal RNA". It matches the Rfam family "Eukaryotic small subunit ribosomal RNA", at positions 591 to 1092 of the family's 1831-position model. The record is from RNAcentral. Lineage: Eukaryota; Fungi; Glomeromycota.
CCAAUAGCGUAUAUUAAAGUUGUUGCAGUUAAAAAGCUCGUAGUUGAAUUUCGGGAUCAAUUUAUCGGUCGUGCCUACGGUAUGAACUGGUACAAUUGGUUUCUCCCUUCUGACGAAGCAUGAUGUCAUUAAUUUGGUGUCGUGGGGAAUCAGGACUGUUACUUUGAAAAAAUUAGAGUGUUUAAAGCAAGCAUUAGCUUGAAUACAUUAGCAUGGAAUAAUGAAAUAGGACGUUUGAUCCUAUUUCGUUGGUUUCUAGGAUCGACGUAAUGAUUAAUAGGGAUAGUUGGGGGCAUUAGUAUUCAAUUGUCAGAGGUGAAAUUCUUGGAUUUAUUGAAGACUAACUACUGCGAAAGCAUUUGCCAAGGAUGUUUUCAUUAAUCAAGAACGAAAGUUAGGGGAUCGAAGACGAUCAGAUACCGUCGUAGUCUUAACCAUAAACUAUGCCGACUAGGGAUCGGAUGAUGUUAAUUUUUUAAUGACUCAUUCGGCGCCUUACG